Chelonoidis abingdonii (Abingdon island giant tortoise) is the source of this 149-nucleotide unclassified non-coding RNA. NCBI's taxonomy places the organism in Eukaryota, Metazoa, Chordata, Testudines, Testudinidae. The record is from Ensembl.
AUGACAGCCAUUGGAGACUGAGGUCUCUGUUUAUCCACAGAACAGGUGUAGCACAACAUCAGCUUUUUCCUACAGUGCCCUUGUCCCUGACUUGGCGGGAUCACCUUAGUCUAUAUGAAUUUCUCCUUGCUAAAUAUACCUAAGGUGUU